RNAcentral lists this ribosomal RNA (482 nucleotides) under Peptostreptococcus sp. canine oral taxon 033. RNAcentral describes it as "bacterial SSU rRNA". It matches the Rfam family "Bacterial small subunit ribosomal RNA", at positions 9 to 456 of the family's 1533-position model. The record is from RNAcentral. Lineage: Bacteria; Bacillati; Bacillota; Clostridia; Peptostreptococcales; Peptostreptococcaceae.
GAGUUUGAUCCUGGCUCAGGAUGAACGCUGGUGGCGUGCCUAACACAUGCAAGUCGAGCGCGGUUGUGCUUAGUAUUGAGUGUUUUAUUGAUAUAAAACAUUGAAUUCUAUGCACAACUGGGCGGCGGACGGGUGAGUAACGCGUGGGUAACCUGCCCUAUACACAUGGAUAACAUACUGAAAAGUUUACUAAUACAUGAUAAAAUAGUUUUUCGGCAUCGAAGAAUUAUCAAAGUGUUAGCGGUAUAGGAUGGACCCGCGUCUGAUUAGCUAGUUGGUGAGAUAACUGCCCACCAAGGCGACGAUCAGUAGCCGACCUGAGAGGGUGAUCGGCCACAUUGGAACUGAGACACGGUCCAAACUCCUACGGGAGGCAGCAGUGGGGAAUAUUGCACAAUGGGCGCAAGCCUGAUGCAGCAACGCCGCGUGAACGAUGAAGGUCUUCGGAUCGUAAAGUUCUGUUGCAGGGGAAGAUAGUGACG